Acinetobacter sp. ANC 3832 is the source of this 86-nucleotide non-coding RNA. Lineage: Bacteria; Pseudomonadati; Pseudomonadota; Gammaproteobacteria; Moraxellales; Moraxellaceae. The record is from Rfam.
CUCUGCGGUAGAACGGGAGGGGGACACCUUCGGGUGUGCUGAUUCUUAGGUUCAGUCUGUCAACCCUUUCUCGUUCUGCCACCAUU